UGGCGGACGGGUGAGGAAUACAUCGGAAUCUACUCUGUCGUGGGGGAUAACGUAGGGAAACUUACGCUAAUACCGCAUACGACCUACGGGUGAAAGCAGGGGAUCUUCGGGCCUUGCGCGAUUGAAUGAGCCGAUGUCGGAUUAGCUAGUUGGCGGGGUAAAGGCCCACCAAGGCGACGAUCCGUAGCUGGUCUGAGAGGAUGAUCAGCCACACUGGAACUGAGACACGGUCCAGACUCCUACGGGAGGCAGCAGCU
RNAcentral lists this ribosomal RNA (257 nucleotides) under uncultured Stenotrophomonas sp. RNAcentral's name for it is "partial 16S ribosomal RNA". It matches the Rfam family "Bacterial small subunit ribosomal RNA", at positions 96 to 355 of the family's 1533-position model. Lineage: Bacteria; Pseudomonadati; Pseudomonadota; Gammaproteobacteria; Lysobacterales; Lysobacteraceae. The record is from RNAcentral.